RNAcentral lists this long non-coding RNA (1086 nucleotides) under Apteryx owenii (little spotted kiwi). RNAcentral's name for it is "lncRNA (ENSAOWG00000015642.1)". Lineage: Eukaryota; Metazoa; Chordata; Aves; Apterygiformes; Apterygidae. The record is from RNAcentral.
GAUUUUUCUGCCCACCAUGGUGUAGACCAUGAACACAGAUUACCUUGUGCACAGGACCGUACCCGUUGCAGCGUCAGGGGAUGGUGCAGGUUCAAGCUAGAGGGAAGACUUGGAAUUCUCUAGCGCAAAGUAGCGUUGUGCUGUUGCAUCACACUCAAGCUGAUCAUCAAACUCUGUAAGGUUCCAAGGUUCAAUGGAGGAUGGAGAUAGUAAGGGAAGGUCAGCUAUUAUUGUUUAAAAUAAAGCCUGAUGUGAGCUCUGAAGUCUAGACAGGCUUUCUAAGGUAAGAAAUCAAAUUUCAUCGUAGCUGUGAGCUCGUAACCUACCAGUUCUUUCCAAAAGAGACACCUGAUUGCUUUCCAGUCAGAACCUUUUUAAGUGUAAUGGUUUUAAGAGACUAAAUUGAAAAAAAAAAUGUUGCUUUAGAUUAUGUUGCAUUAAGAUUGUCUUUUUUUUUUUUUCUUUUAAGCUUAAGUGAUGGGGAUAUUCUAGCACAAUUGUCUGAUCUAGUUUUAGUUGCCCUGGAGGCUUCAGAGAGAUUUGAACUAGCUGGCUGGAAUAAAUUGGUCUUGAAGGAAGAGAAGUGUGAUUGCCCUCCAAAAGCUCAGGGGAACCAGGUGUGAACAUGGAGAUUCAAAGAUGAAGGACUGUGCAGAAAAGACAACAAAUUGGUGACAAGCAGAAUUCAGUACUUCUAAUCAAGUUCAGUAGUAUCUAGGGCGGUUGUUUGAGAGGUUUUUGUAGUUAUUUUUCCCUGUGUCACAGCUUUUGAAGUUAAAUGCAUCAUGCUAGUCACUUUAUUUGCGUUCAUCAACAAGAAUGGAUAGAAUGAGAAUUUAGGGGCAAGUAGUACUUGAUUAAAUAGAGGGUAUAAGGUGAGAUUUGAUGGUGCUAGGCAGGGGGCCUUAGGUGCCAAACAGCAAACAGCAGCAGAAGCUUUAUGUUUUAGAGUUGCACCUUCACUUCAAGCAGCAGCAUUUCACCCCUGAAUUGCACCUGUUUCUGUAUCUGCCCCUCAGCCACAAGGUGGUGUAAAGCUGCUUUAAGUGAAGAGUGGCUCACCAUGAAGCCUUCAAGUAAGCUAAG